AUUGAACGCUGGCGGCAGGCCUAACACAUGCAAGUCGAACGGUAACAGGAAGAAGCUUGCUUCUUUGCUGACGAGUGGCGGACGGGUGAGUAAUGUCUGGGAAACUGCCUGAUGGAGGGGGAUAACUACUGGAAACGGUAGCUAAUACCGCAUAACGUCGCAAGACCAAAGAGGGGGACCUUCGGGCCUCUUGCCAUCGGAUGUGCCCAGAUGGGAUUAGCUAGUAGGUGGGGUAACGGCUCACCUAGGCGACGAUCCCUAGCUGGUCUGAGAGGAUGACCAGCCACACUGGAAGUGAGACCCGGCCCAGACUCCUACGGGGGGCAGAAGGGGGAAAUAUUGAACAGUGGGCGCAAGCCUGAGGCAGCCGGGCGGGGGGAAGGAAGAAGGCCUUGGGUUUUUAAAGUUCUUUCAGGGGGGGGAAAGGGAGAAAAGUAAAUCCCUUCGCUCAUUGACUUUCCCCGAAAAAGAAGCACCGGCAAACCCCGUC
This 490-nucleotide ribosomal RNA is filed under the name uncultured bacterium. RNAcentral describes it as "partial 16S ribosomal RNA". It matches the Rfam family "Bacterial small subunit ribosomal RNA", at positions 29 to 507 of the family's 1533-position model. The record is from RNAcentral.